RNAcentral lists this ribosomal RNA (305 nucleotides) under uncultured bacterium. RNAcentral describes it as "bacterial SSU rRNA". It matches the Rfam family "Bacterial small subunit ribosomal RNA", at positions 334 to 653 of the family's 1533-position model. The record is from RNAcentral.
AAUUCCUACGGGGGGCAGCAGUGGGGAAUAUUGGGCAAUGGGCGCAAGCCUGACCCAGCAACGCCGCGUGAAGGAAGAAGGCUUUCGGGUUGUAAACUCCUUUUCUCAGGGACGAAGAAAGUGACGGUACCUGAGGAAUAAGCCACGGCUAACUACGUGCCAGCAGCCGCGGUAAUACGUAGGUGGCAAGCGUUAUCCGGAUUUACUGGGUGUAAAGGGCGUGUAGGCGGGAAAGCAAGUCAGAUGUGAAAACCAUGGGCUCAACCUGUGGCCUGCCUUUGAAACUGUUUUUCUUGAGUACUGGG